Callorhinchus milii (elephant shark) is the source of this 429-nucleotide long non-coding RNA. RefSeq lists it as uncharacterized. Lineage: Eukaryota; Metazoa; Chordata; Chondrichthyes; Chimaeriformes; Callorhinchidae. The record is from RefSeq and is a predicted model, not a curated record. The transcript has 3 exons.
UUCAAUCCUGGGAGUGGGGAAGGUGGCCACAGAUGGGUUCGAAGAGAACAGAAACAGAGGGGGCAAGAUUGGAGUGGUCGAGCGAGGAAAUUCCAGAGGUUCCCAAACACCAGCGCCAGCACGAGCAGCACAAGCCAAGCAGGAUGUUGCUCUCCAGCAGGAUUCAGGGUUGAACAGCAUCAUGACACAAUUCAUGUAUUCCUCCGCGGAUUGGCUGGCUCGUAGAGUAACAUUGUCAGAGUUUGGGGAGCGGGGCAUCUGGAUCAUCGCUGGUGCACAGGGAAGUGAAGAAGAAAAAUAAGAAAAUGUAAGAGAUAAGAAACAAAUAUACAACAAUAAAAGCAUGAUUUAUUUGGGAUUUUUGAAUAACUUGCUGCGAAUGGUGACCCUACAUAACACUCUCCAUUGUCCUCAUAAACUAUUUAUUCC